AGCACUGUGAUUGACAUCUCCAGAGCAGGGGCCACUUCAUGGACCACAGCCCUGACAUGGCCAGGGGGCUUGCAUAACUCAGUGAAGCCAUGAGCCGUGCUGGGCAGCGCCACCCAAGACCGAUGGGUCAGAGUGAAGAGUUCUGACAAAACGUGGCCCACAGGAGGAAGGAAUGGCAAACUGCUCCAGUAUUCUUGCCAGGAGAACCCCGUGAACGGUGUGAAGAGGUACAAAGAUGCGACACUGGAGGAUGAGCCCCCCGGAAGGCGGAUUCUUUCCCAGCUGAGCUACCUUCAUAUGUUCCUUUAACUGUGGAGGACACUGAUGCCCGCUGUGCUGGAUACUGCCGACUGCCCCUCCAGACCCUCUCUUCACCCUUUUCCGCUCUGUGCUGUGUCCUGGGAGGCUGCCCUGGAUGUACUGUAUGACUGGGUUCCCUUUUUCUCAAGUCUCUGGUUUGAUUAGGCCGAAGGAAAGCACCCACAGAUCCAAGGGCAGGAGGAAAUCAAAGUAAAGCUGUCCCAAACCCGGCAGUGGCCUGUGGUCGUGGAGGAUGCAGGGCCAGACUCAAGACU
Long non-coding RNA from Bos taurus (domestic cattle), 575 nucleotides. The record is from Ensembl. Lineage: Eukaryota; Metazoa; Chordata; Mammalia; Artiodactyla; Bovidae.